GGGCCCGUAGCGUAGCCUGGAUAACGCGACAGCCUUCUAAGCUGUAGACCGGGGGUUCAAAUCCCUCCGGGCCCA
Molecule: transfer RNA, 75 nt
Filed under: Nanobdellota archaeon
Lineage: Archaea; Nanobdellati; Nanobdellota
Description: tRNA-Arg
Rfam family: tRNA
About the family: Transfer RNA (tRNA) molecules are approximately 80 nucleotides in length.
Source: RNAcentral